GAAGGGCAAGAACUCUCCAGAGAUGAUUUUUAAAGUUGUGUAAUUGAACAUUGAGUAUCUGUGGAAAUUGUAGCCUUAGUAAUUCAUAUAUUUAUUUAAUUUCUAAAAGUAGAAUUUUAAGUUUAUGUUUUAGUCCAUUACUAAGCUUCAGAAAGAGCUUGUGGGGAGAAUGAAAAAUAAUAUUGAUGACAGAUCAUAACAUAAAAUUAUAUUCAUUAUUAUAAAAGUAAUGUUAAGGACAGUAAUUCUUCUAUCUAAAAAUUCUUAUGGCUCCUCAGGGUCCACUCUUUGAAGCCAGUGUACUAGGGGAUGAUAAUCAAAACCAGGCUUGAGCUCUGCUUUCACAGUGUUGAUGGCCUCCUGAGAGAAGUAUUCUUUUUUAAUUUAACUUUUAUUUUAUAUGGAGUAUAGUUGGUUUACAAUGCUGUGUUAGUUUCAGGUGUACAGCAAAGUGAUUCACUUAAUGCAUAUACACAUAUCCACUCUUUUCCAAAUUCUUUUCCCAUAUAGGUUAUUAGAAAAUAUUGAGUAGAGUUUCCCUUGCUAUAGAGUAGGUCCUUUUUAAUGAGAGGAAGUAUUAUCUAAGUUUGAAAUGGUACUUGUGACAACUGUCACCAAGAAGUUCAUGUCAAUAUUGGUGCCUAUGCUGUGGGUACAGGAUGGUCCCAGCAAAGUUUCUCUGAGAAAGUGAUGCUGGAGCUGCGAUUUGAAGGAUGAGAAGGAACUAAAUGAACAAAGGGAAAAGCAGAGAGCUUUCAAAGCAUAGGGAACAGCAUAGAGCACUGAAAGUAGGUCAGCAGCCUGAGAUAAUAAAGGGAAUUACAAUGUCAUCUGAGCCUGGAUAAUUCAUUUCAAAAGAUUGCAGAGUGUUAAGAGUUUGGGAGUGAAAAAGCUCUUUAUGAGGUAAUGCAAUUUGCUGCACAUUCUACAGUUUACAAUUGUAACCCUAAGUGCAUAAAGCAAUGAUGUAUUCUAUGUGCUAAUUCUAAAAAUGGCUCUCCUGCUGCCAAUCAAUUCCAUUAAGUGUUUGCACUGAUGUCUGCAGGGUCUAUAUGUGAUUCACCGAGCCAAAUGAUGAAUGCUUUUGGAACAGAAGUACGUGGAUGGUUUUUGCCAUGUAAUGAUAUAUGAUGUUCAUUGAAAGCCAUAGAGUGUUAGCUAGAGAAGGGACUACAGGGGUCCAGCAGAUCAAUCUUCUCUUCCUCAGUUAGAGAAACAUGCAGAGAAAAAGGAGCGUUUUUCAUGGUUUCAUAGAAACUUAGUUACAGAGGUGAUAUUAAAAUAUAAAUUUAUUAAUUUCUAUUCUAUCACCUUCACUCACCAUAGGCAAGUUGCAAUUACAAUGUUACCUAUUUUGGAUUACUCACAGAAGUCAUAUUUUGCCACUUCCACACAGGCUCAAAAAGAACAUCACAUGUGAAAACAGUUUAAUACACUUUAGUUCUGUUAAUGAUGUUGAUGACCAGCUGCCAUAAUACUAGCGACACUGCAUAUUAUCAUGGCAGAGAUCCAAAUGGACAAAAGAGAUUAUGGAUAUAGAUUGCUGAAAUGUAUAAUAAAUACUUCAUACAAAUGGAAAUCCUUUAAAACUAGACUUGGCAGCAUAAAUUGGUUUCUUGCUGCCAGUUACUAUGGGUAGGCAAAGCUGAUGACAAGACAGAAAAUGAAUCAUCUCUAUGAAAAUAUAGCUUUGAAUCAACUUUGCUUCUUCUUAAAGGUCACAUUCUUCCUUUGUAUUCACUCAUACAUCCACUCACACAAACAUAGAAAAUAUUUUCAUCAUGCUUCUUUCAAGUUGGAGGCAUGAUGCCAAUUUGGGGACACUCAAAUUGAGCUGAAAACUAUUCAGCCAUGUAUCACAAAUCUACCUUGUGUAUUUUAUUUUUAAAAUUUUUCUGUAAUAUGUGUUUCCUUUUUUAAAAAAUAAACAGAAAAGCUAAAAGAAAACAACGUAUUUCUUUAUAAUCAUGCGUCAUUUCUACAGUCCUUCUUUGUUUCCUUUUUUUAAUUGAAGUAGAGUUGAUGUAUAAUGUAUAUUAUGGAUGCGCAAUAUAGUGAUUCACAAUUUUUAAAGGUUAUAUUCCUUUUAUAGCUAUUAUAAAAUACCGGCUAUAUUCCCCAUGUUAUACAAUAUAUCCUUGCGGUUUAUUUUAUAACUAAUAGUUUGUACCUCUUUAUUCCUUACCCCUAUAUUGCCCAUUCCCCCUUCCCUCUUCCCACUAGUAACCACUAGUUUGUCCUCUGUAUCUCUAAGUCUGCUUCUUUUUAUUAUGUUCACUAGUCUGUUAUGUUUUUUAGAUUCCACAUGUAAGGGAUAUCAUGCAGUAUUUGUCUUUCUCUGGUGAUGUGUUUCACUUAGUAUAAUGCCCUCCAAAUCCAUCCAUUUUGCUGCAAAUGGCACAUUUUCAUUCUUUUCUGUGUGUGUGUGUGUGUGUGUGUGUGUACACACGUGUACGCAUGUAUGUGAAGAAGAUGUGGCAUGUGUUAUGUCAUGUCACAUCUUUAUCCAUUCAUCUGUUGAUGGACACUUAGGUUGCUUCUAUAUGUUGGUAAUUGUAUGCUGCUAUGAACACUGGGGUGCAGGUAUCUUUUCAAUUUAGUGUUUUUUGGGGGGGUUUUGGAUAUAAACACUGGAAUUGGAUUGCUGGGUCAUUUGAUAGUUCUUUUUUUAGCUUUUUAAGAAAUCAUAUUGUUUUCCACCAAUUUACAUUCCUGCCAACAAUAUAGGAGUGUUCCCUUUCUUCCACAUUCUUGCCAACAUUUUUUAUUUGUGUUCUUUUUAUGAUAGUCAUUCUGAUAAGUACGAGAUGAUAUCUCAUUGUGGUUUUGAUUUGCAUUUACCUGAUCAGUGAUGUUGAGCAUCUUUUCAUGUGUCUGUUAGUUACUUGCAUUUGGUCUUUGGAAAAAUGCCUACUCAGUUCCUCUGCCAAUUUUUUAAUUGGAUCCUGUGGGUUUUUUGAUAUUGAGUUGCAUGAGCUGUUUAUAUAUGUUGUAUCUUAACCCCUUAUCAGUCAUGCCAUUUGCAAAUAUUUUCUCCCAUUCAGUAGGCUGUCUUUUUGUUUUGUUGGUGGUUUCCUUUGUUGUGCAAGAUCUUAUAAUUUUAAUUAGGUACCAUUUGUUUACUUUUUCUUUUAUUUCCUUUGUUUUCAGAGAUGAGUCCAAAACAUAUGGUUUAUAAUUUAUGUCAAAAAGUGUUCUGCCUGUUCUGUUCUAGGAGUUUUAUGCUGUCUGGUCCUACAUUUAGGUCUUUAAUCUAUUUUGAAUAUAUUUUUGUACACAGUGUUAGAGAAUUUUGGAAUUGCAUUUUUAACAUGUAGCUGUCCAGUUUUCCCAGUUCCUCUUAUUAAAGAGACUUUUUUCUCCAUUGUACAUUCUUGCCUCCUUUGUCACAGGUUAAUUGGCCUAAGUGCGUGUGUUUAUUUCUGGGUUCUCUAUUCUGCUCCAUUUGAUACUCAGUGCUGUGCUUAGUAAAAUGGUACAAGGAUUUCAAGUGUUUUUUUUAUUUACUUUAGUAAAAGUUACAGAUUACUUCAGUUCUGGCUUUGUUUUGCUUUUGUUUUGUUGCGGGGGACAGGGAACAUCUCAAAUAGUGAAAUUUAAAAUGAUGGGAAAAGCCACUGGAAGAUUUAACUGACAUAACAAUCAUUUGCACAAAUGAAACACUUGUGUUUUCCUGCAAUGCUCUUCAUUGCAAAUACAGAGUUUCAGAGGGUUCAUCUUAAUGCAUCAUUCCUCUGAGCUUGGUUUGAGAGUCCCCUCUGUGUGAUCUUCUCUCUCCUUCUCAGUCUCUCAGAGGACUUUGAUUGAUCACAGUGCUGCAAUGGGGCUUUAAAUUGAUCCACUGAACUAUAAGAACAGCAAUUAAUUUAAAGCAGAGUUCCAUGCAUUUCAUGUGCACUGCAUAUAAAAGAAGCUUUCUUUCUUUCCCAUUCUGUAUUCCUCCUACUACUAUUUAUAUAUAUUGUCUCUUCUACUGUAUGAUAAGAAUAUAUCACUGUCGCCCUGCAGAACAGAAACUGAACCUCAUAUAUUUCCCUUUCCACAGCACCAACUUAUCAAGUUAAUUUCAAAGAAAUGUAUGGUAUAAACUCCAAAAGUUGAUCUAAAAACAAGCUUCUAGAACAAACCAUUUUUAAGUUGAGGGCCUCCUUAGUGUAUGUUCAUGCACACACACACACACACACACACAUAUGCACACAUAGCAUGACACAAUAUGGUCAAUCCACAUUCUAUAUAAAUCCAAGUGUGUAUGUGUAUAUUUGAUUUUACAAAUAAAAAUAUAUUAUUUCUAAAAUAUCUUCAUAUGGUUCAUGUUGGCAAAGAUAUGAAGCAAGACAUUUAGUCGAUGCUUAGUAACUUGUUCCAUUUGAAUUAAAAUGUUAUUUUGAUUUUUUACUUUAUCACUCAUAUUCUUAAUUUCCUUGGGUUCCUCUUGGAAAUACAUUUAUUCUUUCAUCACAACAUGUCGACUUGAAAUAAAUAGACUACCAGAUGUUUCUCUAGAAAAGAUGGGUUUGUUCAGGAUCAGCAGAGAAUUGUAAUUUGGGUUCUGUAACCAUGGAAAACUACAUGCCAUGGAGGUCUCAGCAUGGCAAAGAAAGGGAAAUGCUUUUAGAGAUAGCGAAAAGGAAGUUGGGAGGGCUACAGUAAAUAAUCCAUGGCUUUUCAUUGGCGGAGUCCUUGGUAGGAAAAAAAAAAUGAAUCUUCUUCCUAUUGGGCUCUGAAAUGAGAGCUCCCCCUUCUGGUGUCUUGACUAUGUAAUGGAGGUUUCUGUUAAUUAUUUUCCUUGGGUUUUUUUUUUUUUUUUUAAUUGUUUUAUUACAGUUGCUUUACAAUGUUCUGUCAAUUUCUGCUGUACAGCAAAGUGACCCAGUUAUACACUGGGUAACUUUUUCUCAUAUUCAUGUUCUAUCACAAGUGAUUGGAUGUAGUUCCUGUGCUAUACAGCAGGACCUCAUUGCUUUAUUUUCUUACAAGCAACAUGAAGGGGAUAAACUUUAGAGCAGUCUUAAGAGGAUGUUUAGCUCAGAAUAAGUGAAAUGAAGAUAGCAGACUCUCCAAACAAUAACUUUGUUUGCCGUUGUUCAAAUCUGGAUUUAUUAACUGAGAGGGCCUCCUAAAGGUAUACAGCUUUGAUCUGGAGGUUGUGAGAAGAUGGUAGUAGAAGUUGUAAUUUUUACUAGAACCCAACUUUAAUAACCAAGUUGUCAAUGGUUGCCUAGUCCUGGAAAUAGUCCUCGAAUGUAGAAUCUAUUCAUGUGUUUCCUGAAAUUUGUUUUAAAUAAAAAUCCCUAAAUUAAAGGAAUGUGGAUAUGCCUUCAUUCAUUAUUUCAUCCAUAAUUUUACUGAGCACCAAUUUUAUCCAAACACUAUCUAAAACUCUGAGAACAGGAUGAGUGAGCUGUAUAGUUCCUCCUCUCAAGGAACUCUCUCUUAGCUGAAGAACCUGUUUCUACAGAUUACACUGUAGAUGAUAGUGUGCAUGUGCAUACAUGAGUUCAUGUGCAUGUGCUUUAUCUGUCUUAUUUAAUUAUGAGUGUUCUUGUAAAUUUUUUUAAUGCAAAUAUAUUCUAAGGAAAAAGAUUCUGAGAAGUUAAGAUCUCCACCCCAUAACUACUCCUAGGCACCCUAAAGAAGUAAUCUUGGAGAACAGAGAGUACAUGUGUUUCAAAGCCAUUACAACCUUGGUUGAAACCCCCAGUCUAACAGGUUUCAAGUCUCAACUUCUGAGCUUUGCCAACUACCUGAAGUUAAUAAAAAAAAAAAAAAAAAAA
This 5774-nucleotide long non-coding RNA is filed under the name Sus scrofa (pig). Its description in RNAcentral is "lncRNA (ENSSSCG00015019801.1)". The record is from RNAcentral. Lineage: Eukaryota; Metazoa; Chordata; Mammalia; Artiodactyla; Suidae.